GACAGAGGGUGCAAACGUUGUCCGGAUUUAUUGGGCGUAAAGAGCUCGUAGGCGGCUUGUCGCGUCGACUGUGAAAACCCGUGGCUCAACCAUGUGGUCUGCAGUCGAUACGGGCAGGCUAGAAUUCGGUAGGGGAGACUGGAAUUCCUGGUGUAGCGGUGAAAUGCGCAGAUAUCAGGAGGAACACCAAUGGCGAAGGCAGAUCUCUGGGCCGUAACUGACGCUGAGGAGCGAAAGCAUGGGGAGCGAACAGG
This 254-nucleotide ribosomal RNA is filed under the name uncultured bacterium. RNAcentral's name for it is "partial 16S ribosomal RNA". It matches the Rfam family "Bacterial small subunit ribosomal RNA", at positions 524 to 776 of the family's 1533-position model. The record is from RNAcentral.